This is a long non-coding RNA of Xyrauchen texanus (razorback sucker), 1032 nucleotides long. RefSeq lists it as uncharacterized. NCBI's taxonomy places the organism in Eukaryota, Metazoa, Chordata, Actinopteri, Cypriniformes, Catostomidae. The record is from RefSeq and is a predicted model, not a curated record. The transcript has 4 exons.
GCCUCCCCCUUUUCUCCGGUAUUGGGCGUUUCCGCUCAAUAGGUUGUUGUUGUUGUUGUUGUUGUUGUUGUUGUUGUUGUUGUUGUUGUUGUUGUUGUUGUUGUUGUUGUUGUUGUUGUUGUUGUUGUUGUUGUUGUUGUUGUUGUUGUUGAACGUUAGGCUAACUGCCUGGCUCUGGUACCGUGUGUUAAUGUUAGUUUCGUUAUAUGUGAUUCAGCGUUUGUUUGCGCGAGGCUCGUAUCGAGCUCCGCUGGCCAAUUGCUGCCUUCAUUCAGUCAGCUGUUCCAUACAGCCGUGUGUGUGUGCGGCUGUAAUUAUGGCUGUAGCUUCAACACUUUUGGAGCUGAAGGCCUAGUGCAGGGGGCUAGCUGUUCCCUGCGCUAAAUGGUGGUAGUGCCCCUUCUCACCUGUGGAGUGCUGUGUGUGUACAACUGACUCGCCUGUGUUUGUGUGUGUAUGUGCGUGUGAGAGAGUGUACACUUGGGGGUGACGUGUCUUUAUCGGGGAAUUGCUGCCCCCGGCUAGCCUUCCUGCUCCUGGGUCUUAUUUGCCAAGCCAAGGUCAUUUCUGCUGAUGCACAUCACUGUGCUGUUGAUGGUGAAGUCCACAUCAGUCAUAGUGAAGGUGCUGUUUACAGUGAUGUGACCAUCUGAUGCUCUAACUGUGGUAGUAUGAUGAUCGUCCUGUAGCAGAGGCCAGUGAAUAUCAGGCAAAGGCACACCCUGACUGACACACACACAGAUGCCAACAUGAUCAAGUUAUCUUGUUUGUCUGCCUCUGGUGAGCUGAGUGGGAACUCUGGGCUGCCUCUGAACCAGACCUGUCGGCCAGAGUGUGCUCUCAUUGGAGCAGUGAAUGCACAAGGGAUCCGGACACAUCCACCCAGAGCACUGAUGUGGUUCUCUUCCAGCCGCAAGGAGAAGUCAUAAUCACCUGCAUAUAACAGUUAACAGAAAAUAAAGAUGUUGUUUGGAGAAAUUUAAACAAAAUGGGAUUGUUUAGAGAUUUUUACUUCUCACUGAAUGGCUGUUU